Molecule: long non-coding RNA, 794 nt
Filed under: Vigna radiata
Lineage: Eukaryota; Viridiplantae; Streptophyta; Magnoliopsida; Fabales; Fabaceae
Description: long non-coding RNA (VRAD_LNC011290)
Source: RNAcentral
GUCAACUUUCGGUUUCUUUAUCCUUUAUUGCAUGGCCUAUCUUCUUCGAGUACAACACGUGUUCAAAUACACAUUCUUUCUUAGAACGUCUACAGAUUUCCUCACCUUCAUCGUGUCUUGCUACGCUCAUCAACAAGACAAUAUCUGAGUCUGUGUCACACGCGUCAUGUGCAAGAUUUGCUUCAUCAUUUUUCGUCUUCUUCGCAUUCUCAUUAUGCCAACACUCAGAUGAGUAAUGCCCGUAUUUGUUGCAUGUGUAACACUGGACACUUCUUUUAUCGUAAUUCUUUCUACCUCUUCCUCUGGACUUUCUUCCUCCUCUGUUGUUUUCCUCAUUUUGUUCACUUGCAUCGUCUUCACCAAUUUGUUCAAAGGGUUUUGUACCUCUACCAUCCGUUCGGCCACCGCGUGUCCAUCCUCUUCCUUUUCCACUCCUCGGCCUCUGAGGCUUUAUUUACUUUUGGCCUGCAACGCCUGAAUAGAGUCUUGCAUCACACCACUUUCUGCAUUUUUCCUUUCAAUUAAUCGCUGCUCAUACGCUUCAAGGGAGUUUUGCAGUUCUUCCACCUUCAUCGUCUCAAGAUCUUUGUUUUCUUCUAUAGCUACCGUAAUAUGAUCAUACUGGGGUGUCAAACUCCUGAGAUUUUUUGCCACAAUCUUCUUGCCUUUCACAAUCUUGCCACACGAUCUCAUGGCAUUCACCAAGACUUGCAUCCUCCCGAUGUACUCCACUACCGUUUCCUACUCCCCCAUGCAUUCAUAUUGCCUUUGUAGGGACUACAGACAAACCUUCU